AGAGUUUGAUCCUGGCUCAGGACGAACGCUGACGGUGUGCUUUAGACAUGCAAGUCGAACGAGAAAGCCCUUCGGGGUGAGUACAGUGGCGAACGGGUGAGUAACACGUGGGUAACCUGCCCCUCGCAGGGGGACAACCGGGGGAAACCCCGGCUAAUACCCCGUACGCUCCGAGGUCCGCAUGGGCCACGGAGGAAAGGUAGCUUCGGCCAUCCGGCGAGGGAUGGGCCCGCGGUCCAUUAGCUAGUUGGUGGGGUAACGGCUCACCAAGGCGACGAUGGAUAGCUGGUCUGAGAGGAUGAUCAGCCACACUGGGACUGAGACACGGCCCAGACUCCUACGGGAGGCAGCAGUCGGGAAUCUUGCGCAAUGGGCGAAAGCCUGACGCAGCAACACCGUGUGGGCGACGAAGGCCUUCGGGUCGUAAAGCCCUGUUGUUGGGGACGAAGGGCGAAGGGUUAAUAGCCCCUAGUCUGACGGUACCCUUCGAGGAAGCCCCGGCUAACUACGUGCCAGCAGCCGCGGUAAUACGUAGGGGGCGAGCGUUGUCCGGAAUUAUUGGGCGUAAAGAGCGUGUAGGCGGUUCGGUAAGUCUGCCGUGAAACCCCGGGGCUCAACCCCGGGCGUGCGGUGGAUACUGCCGGGCUAGAGGGUGGUAGAGGCGAGUGGAAUUCCCGGUGUAGCGGUGAAAUGCGCAGAUAUCGGGAGGAACACCAGUAGCGAAGGCGGCUCGCUGGGCCAUUCCUGACGCUGAGACGCGAAAGCUAGGGGAGCGAACAGGAUUAGAUACCCUUGUAGUCC
Molecule: ribosomal RNA, 801 nt
Filed under: uncultured Rubrobacter sp.
Lineage: Bacteria; Bacillati; Actinomycetota; Rubrobacteria; Rubrobacterales; Rubrobacteraceae
Description: bacterial SSU rRNA
Rfam family: Bacterial small subunit ribosomal RNA
Source: RNAcentral